AGGACGAACGCUGGCGGCGUGCUUAACACAUGCAAGUCGAGCGGUAAGGCCUUUCGGGGUACACGAGCGGCGAACGGGUGAGUAACACGUGGGUGAUCUGCCCUGCACUUCGGAUAAGCCUGGGAAACUGGGUCUAAUACCGGAUAUGACCUCCUAUCGCAUGGUGGGUGGUGGAAAGAUUUAUCGGUGCAGGAUGGGCCCGCGGCCUAUCAGUCUUGGUUGGUGGGGUAAUGGCCUACCGAAGGCGACGACGGGUAGCCGACCUGAGAGGGUGACCGGCCACGACUGGGACUGAGACGACGGCCCAGACCU
RNAcentral lists this ribosomal RNA (312 nucleotides) under uncultured soil bacterium. RNAcentral's name for it is "bacterial SSU rRNA". It matches the Rfam family "Bacterial small subunit ribosomal RNA", at positions 26 to 338 of the family's 1533-position model. The record is from RNAcentral.